GGGGCUUUGGCUCAGUGGUAGAGUGCUCACCUAGCAUGUGUGAAGCCCUGGGCUCAAUCCUCAGAACCA
Molecule: transfer RNA, 69 nt
Filed under: Ictidomys tridecemlineatus (thirteen-lined ground squirrel)
Lineage: Eukaryota; Metazoa; Chordata; Mammalia; Rodentia; Sciuridae
Description: Spermophilus tridecemlineatus (thirteen-lined ground squirrel) tRNA
Rfam family: tRNA
About the family: Transfer RNA (tRNA) molecules are approximately 80 nucleotides in length. Their secondary structure includes four short double-helical elements and three loops (D, anti-codon, and T loops).
Source: Rfam by way of RNAcentral